Molecule: transfer RNA, 73 nt
Filed under: Nematostella vectensis (starlet sea anemone)
Lineage: Eukaryota; Metazoa; Cnidaria; Anthozoa; Actiniaria; Edwardsiidae
Rfam family: tRNA
About the family: Transfer RNA (tRNA) molecules are approximately 80 nucleotides in length. Their secondary structure includes four short double-helical elements and three loops (D, anti-codon, and T loops).
Source: Rfam by way of RNAcentral
GUCUCUGUGGGGCAAUCGGUUAGCGCGUUCGGCUGUUAACCAAAAGGUGGUGGUUCAAGCCCACCCAGGGACG